GACGAACGCUGGCGGCGUGCCUAAUACAUGCAAGUCGAGCGAAGUUUUUCUGGUGCUUGCACUAGAAAAACUUAGCGGCGAACGGGUGAGUAACACGUAAAGAACCUGCCUCAUAGACGGGGACAACUAUUGGAAACGAUAGCUAAUACCGGAUAACAGCAUAAAUCGCAUGAUAUAUGUUUAAAAGUUGGUUUCGGCUAACACUAUGAGAUGGCUUUGCGGUGCAUUAGCUAGUUGGUGGGGUAAAGGCCUACCAAGGCGACGAUGCAUAGCCGACCUGAGAGGGUGAUCGGCCACACUGGGACUGAGACACGGCCCAGACUCCUACGGGAGGCAGCAGUAGGGAAUCUUCCGCAAUGGGCGAAAGCCUGACGGAGCAACGCCGCGUGAGUGAAGAAGGAUUUCGGUUCGUAAAGCUCUGUUGUUAGGGAAGAAUGAUUGUAUAGUAACUAUAUACAGUAGAGGACGG
This 469-nucleotide ribosomal RNA is filed under the name Gemella sanguinis. Its description in RNAcentral is "bacterial SSU rRNA". It matches the Rfam family "Bacterial small subunit ribosomal RNA", at positions 28 to 475 of the family's 1533-position model. The record is from RNAcentral. Lineage: Bacteria; Bacillati; Bacillota; Bacilli; Caryophanales; Gemellaceae.